GCUCAACCGGGGAGGGUCAUUGGAAACUGGGAAACUUGAGUGCAGAAGAGGAGAGUGGAAUUCCACGUGUAGCGGUGAAAUGCGUAGAGAUGUGGAGGAACACCAGUGGCGAAGGCGACUCUCUGGUCUGUAACUGACGCUGAGGAGCGAAAGCGUGGGGAGCGAACAGGAUUAGAUACCCUGGUAGUCCACGCCGUAAACGAUGAGUGCUAAGUGUUAGGGGGUUUCCGCCCCUUAGUGCUGCAGCUAACGCAUUUAAGCACUCCGCCUGGGGAGUACGGUCGCAAGACUGAAACUCAAAGGAAUUGACGGGGGCCCGCACAAGCGGUGGAGCAUGUGGUUUAAUUCGAAGCAACGCGAAGAACCUUACCAGGUCUUGACAUCCUCUGACAACUCUAGAGAUAGGGCUUUCCCUUCGGGGACAGAGUGACAGGUGGUGCAUGGUUGUCGUCAGCUCGUGUCGUGAGAUGUUGGGUUAAGUCCCGCAACGAGCGCAACCCUUGAUCUUAGUUGCCAGCAUUUAGUUGGGCACUCUAAGGUGACUGCCGGUGACAAACCGGAGGAAGGUGGGGAUGACGUCAAAUCAUCAUGCCCCUUAUGACCUGGGCUACACACGUGCUACAAUGGACAGAACAAAG
Molecule: ribosomal RNA, 638 nt
Filed under: uncultured bacterium
Lineage: Bacteria
Description: bacterial SSU rRNA
Rfam family: Bacterial small subunit ribosomal RNA
Source: RNAcentral